CUUAUCCAAAAAAAAGGAGGCUAGUCUCUAAGGUUAAAAAGAAAAUACGGCGUUGCAUUACUUUUUCCAUGUGUAUAUAUUCAUUGAUUUUGAAAUACAAAACACAUAAAAAAAAAUCAUGAUUUAGAAAGUUCCACCAUCAUUAUAUAUAUAUAUAUAUAUUAGACGGCAUGCAAAAACGUGAAAAAGACACCACAGUACUGACAGUGACAAAUGGGCGUCUAACGUUCAGUGUCAAAUAUUGUGUACAAAAAUGGAGGAAAUCUGAUAGAAAGAUAUAGGAAAUGUGAUAUGAUAGUCAAAUUGACAACUCACAGGACUUUCAUGAGUAGUCAAUGUUGUUAAACACACCCGUAGAAGCAAUGGGCUGUCACUAUUUGACCUUCAACCAAGAACAAACCACAAACAAUAAAGAUUGCAUGCUAUUAAAAUCCAAAC
This 438-nucleotide long non-coding RNA is filed under the name Mytilus galloprovincialis (Mediterranean mussel). The record is from RNAcentral. Lineage: Eukaryota; Metazoa; Mollusca; Bivalvia; Mytilida; Mytilidae.